Molecule: unclassified non-coding RNA, 211 nt
Filed under: soil metagenome
Description: partial contains 5.8S ribosomal RNA, internal transcribed spacer 2, and large subunit ribosomal RNA
Source: RNAcentral
AACCUAGCACACCUGCGGUGUGUACCUGCGGAAGGAUCAUUACCGAGUGUGGUCCCAUAUAAGGGGCGCCUCCCGUCCUUUGCAGGGCCUUUAGGGGCUUUUUGACUUUGCUUCGGCGGGCUUGCCCCGCCGGAACACCCUCAAGAAAAUCUUUAUGAACCGUUUGUCUGAGUUGCUUGCGAAUAAAAACAAAACUUUCAACAACGGAUCU